CAGUCGCCGCGGUAAUACGUAGGGUGCGAGCGUUAAUCGGAAUUACUGGGCGUAAAGCGUGCGCAGGCGGUUCGUUAAGACAGAUAUGAAAUCCCCGGGCUUAACCUGGGAACUGCAUUUGUGACUGGCGAGCUAGAGUAUGGCAGAGGGGGGUAGAAUUCCACGUGUAGCAGUGAAAUGCGUAGAGAUGUGGAGGAAUACCGAUGGCGAAGGCAGCCCCCUGGGCCAAUACUGACGCUCAUGCACGAAAGCGUGGGGAGCAAACAGGAUUAGAUACCCCCGUAGUCCCUGUCUCUUAUAC
RNAcentral lists this ribosomal RNA (301 nucleotides) under uncultured bacterium. RNAcentral describes it as "partial 16S ribosomal RNA". It matches the Rfam family "Bacterial small subunit ribosomal RNA", at positions 509 to 807 of the family's 1533-position model. The record is from RNAcentral.